Molecule: non-coding RNA, 186 nt
Organism: Paenibacillus sabinae T27
Lineage: Bacteria; Bacillati; Bacillota; Bacilli; Caryophanales; Paenibacillaceae
Source: Rfam
GUUCUCAAAUGGCUGAAUUCCGACAAUGGGAACGGGGGAACCAAUGGUGAAUGCGGCUUUCGAUCUGAUGCUGCCGCUCACUUGGGGUGAAUCCUUGCUGCGUGCUGUAAAGCCGCUCUGGCAAGGUAGGGCAAUCUCGCUGCCCGAAUCCGUCAGCUAACCCCGUAAGCCUCGUAGAGAGAGGAU